Molecule: ribosomal RNA, 497 nt
Filed under: uncultured bacterium
Lineage: Bacteria
Description: partial 16S ribosomal RNA
Rfam family: Bacterial small subunit ribosomal RNA
Source: RNAcentral
GAUGAACGCUGGCGGCGUGCCUAAUACAUGCAAGUCGAGCGAACGGACGAGAAGCUUGCUUCUCUGAUGUUAGCGGCGGACGGGUGAGUAACACGUGGAUAACCUACCUAUAAGACUGGGAUAACUUCGGGAAACCGUAGCUAAUACCGGAUAAUAUUUUGAACCGCAUGGUUCAAAAGUGAAAGACGGUCUUGCUGUCACUUAUAGAUGGAUCCGCGCUGCAUUAGCUAGUUGGUAAGGUAACGGCUUACCAAGGCAACGAUGCAUAGCCGACCUGAGAGGGUGAUCGGCCACACUGGAACUGAGACACGGUCAAGACUCCUACGGGAGGCAGCAGUAGGGAAUCUUCCGCAAUGGGCGAAAGCCUGACGGAGCAACGCCGCGUGAGUGAUGAAGGUCUUCGGAUCGUAAAACUCUGUUAUUAGGGAAGAACAUAUGUGUAAGUAACUGUGCACAUCUUGACGGUACCUAAUCAGAAAGCCACGGCUAACUACGUG